CGAAGGUGGAUCCAUACAUUUUUGCACUUGCAAAAGAUUUUGCCAUACUUGAAAUGUUCUCUUGGAGCAUAUAUUUGUUUGAGACCACAUUAUCUUCACUAAGAAAGGGAUUACCAAAACAAACAAGCCACCACAGAUUGACAGAUUUUUUAGUGGAUUUCCAGGUGUGACUGUAUGAGUGCAUACUUGCACUUGAAGAGAAUGUGACCACAAGAAUUAGCAAGAAAUAUCUACGAAUUAUGAUUUGGACUGCACAUAAACAUCUUUAAGUGGAAAUGUUGGAGGACAAGGUGUUUGGAAGUAAGAAUGUAAGUUCUUAAACAUGUUUGAAUUGUUAUGUAAUCAUUUGGUUAGUUAUACAUAUUUAAAAUGAUAUAUGCUCAACUUUUUUCCAUCUUACGUCAAAUAGGUUGUGAUAAAUGAUAUUGAUCCAUCUGAAGUAGAGCUCACGAUGGGCAAUAUAUGAUAAGUUGUAAAUAAGAAUUUAAGAUAUAUUAUGAUAUGAAAUAUGAUUGUGACCUGAAGUAUAAAUAUUCUAUUUGCAAAGUCAAAUAUCUCUUAUGACUGACCUGAAAUACGUGACUUGUGACUUUCCUUAAUAUAUGUUGUGACCUGAUUUGUAUCAUUGUGCUAACUAAUUUCAUUGUUCUGUAUGUUGGAUAUGAUUAACAUACGUGCAAUUUUCGAAAACUAGACAACCAAAUCAAAACAUUAAGAUCUCUAAAACUCAAGCGGGCACAAGUGAGUCUACUUCCAUGCUAUCAAAGAUACAUGUUCAAGAUUCAGACGAUGAUUUUAUAGAUCCACCGUUGCAAAAAUAGACGGGGAUUGCUAGCUAUAGCUCUCCUGCUUAGCCUCAGGAUGUCUAUUAUCCUGAUUGCUAAUGUGUCGAAGUAAGUAAUUUCAUUUUAUACAGACUUAAGAAGCCAUUUUAUAUGCAAUUUUACUAACUACAAAAUUUUAUCAGGAAUGUGGUCGACUAAAGCAGCAAUUGAUGGAUGAGGAAAUAACUAAGCUUCAAGUGGAGAACAAAGGGUUAAAAGAGGAGCUUUUGUUGAUGAAGCCAGAACUGUCAGACACGAAUGAUAAAGUGUGUCAUUCAAACAGUUCUUUGAAGCUCAAUGAGGUCAUUUAAAGUCAGAAUGUGUUGAAAGAUUUGCUUGAGCGACAUCAAGUCGUCUCUUAAAUCUUUUGUUGAAUCUAUGUCUGACAUUUUUAUCUUUGGUGAUUGAUGAAGUUCAGACAAAGUUGAGUGGUAAAGAUGGUUCGACGGAACAAGAGAUAAAAGCUAAUAUUGUAGUUGAAAGAAAGGGCAAUGGUCACAUGGAACCUGAGUUAAAAGGUGAUGAUGUGGUUGAAAAAAAAAAAGAUAAAGGUCACAUGGCACCUGGGUUUUCACAUUACUUCCAUGAUGACUAUAUUCUCCAAUCUACUUCAUUUAAU
RNAcentral lists this long non-coding RNA (1443 nucleotides) under Olea europaea subsp. europaea. The record is from RNAcentral. Lineage: Eukaryota; Viridiplantae; Streptophyta; Magnoliopsida; Lamiales; Oleaceae.